GUUCCAACAGUGUACUCUGAGCUUCCUUGAUGGGCUCCUGCCACCGCAAACCUGAACUGGAAUAAGAAGGUUGCAGAAGCUUCUGCUAUGCAAUGCGUACACCUCUCCGGAUCUAUUUUCACCAUCCUCCCCUGCCACCAGAACAAUAAUUAACAUCAGAUCCCUCCUCCUUUUGGUUGAAAAACUAACAACAACAACGAAAAGAGUACCUUUUUUAAAAAAUCUUUUGGAAGACUAGAAAAAUAUGCUAUGAAAAAUAUUAAUAACAACAAACUCAUCAAAACAAUCUUGAAAACACCAAGUGAACACAGAAGCUCAAACUUACCGACUUUGAAAAGACUUCUGAAAUGAGGGUGUAAUAAUAGACUCCUAUUGCUGGGGUGACUCAUGGGAGGAGUAUUUAUGGAACUACAGAGGAAAGAAGCUAGUGGUGUUGUUUAUUUACCAGCCUUCUCCCCUGAAACCACUCACUACAAUAUAAGUGUCACGGAACUAGAGUCCUUUUUUACUUUUAUUCACUUCACAUCCACAAUGUGUUGAAGAGUCCUUGGGAUACUCUAGCACUCAGCAAAUUAUGUUGAAGAAUAAAUGAAAGAAUGAAUAGCAAGUGUCAAUAAGUGAUGGCUGAAUAAAUGGAGAAAUCACUGGGAUGAAUAAGGUCACUUGAGCUCAUGAGUCUUAUAUCCUAACAAAUUGUUUAUGAUCUAUCCAACAAAAAGGAGUUGUCAACAGAAGUUUUAAAAGAGGAAUUUUUGAAUGUUUGUUUUACCAAUGUUGUUGUUUUACCUGAAAUUAGGGUUGUAGAAUUUAAAAUAAAUUUUGAACUAUAAUUGUGUCUGUAUUUGGUUAGGGAAAUCACCAGUUUUUAUAACCUGUGUAAAUUGCUUAACUUGCUUUAAC
Molecule: non-coding RNA, 900 nt
Organism: Macaca mulatta (Rhesus monkey)
Lineage: Eukaryota; Metazoa; Chordata; Mammalia; Primates; Cercopithecidae
Source: RefSeq, a predicted model, not a curated record